AGGCUUCUGAGGCAAUCGGGCAGUGUCAGUCUUCAGCUGCUAAGCCAAGAAGAUCUGGGAAGGAGUCAGUCAGAGAGCCUUGGGCCAGAGUUCGAGGGGCUUUGGAAGCGGCUGCCAGUGUGCUGGAACUUCUCCACUGGUAUCGUGCCACCGCACUCCAGCCUGGGUGACAGAGCAAGACUCCAUCUCAAAAACAACAAAAACAAAAACUUCUCCACUGGACUCCCAGACUCCCACUAUUCAUGAGUACUUGUCAAAACUGAUGCCUCUGCAAAAGAAUAACAGUAGAAAGCUUCUAUUCUGUCAACUUGCUGACAUCCCAAAGCUGGUUUAUUAAGAAUGUCAUGCUUUGUAUAUAAUAUUGAUAA
This 368-nucleotide long non-coding RNA is filed under the name Homo sapiens (human). RNAcentral describes it as "HSALNT0364405". Lineage: Eukaryota; Metazoa; Chordata; Mammalia; Primates; Hominidae. The record is from RNAcentral.